CAAGGCCAGGUGGAGGAAUCUUUAGCCACAGGACUCUUAGGUGGAAAAGUAGAAAAGGCCUGGUAUGCAGCCACAAUGUGGAGACACCUAGCUGAGCCCAGGACCACCUUGUACCCUCUUAGCUCCCCAGUCUUGUUCAACACCAAGCCUCUCCACAUCCCCAACACCUCCACUGGCCCCAGCUAUGCUCACCACCAGGACUGAAGUUGAAGAGGGGGGGAAGCGGGCGGUUGUUGGGGAGCUGGGUUCCGAGACUCCGCAGUUCAUCAAAGAAACUGUGGGCACAGGCCUCUAGUGGGGAGAGCCUUGAGGAUGGAGUGUACUCCAGCAGGCUAGAGCAGAGUGCGAUGGCCUCAGGUGGUGUCCGAGAUUUGAACACCUGUGGGUUAAUGCAGAGGGGCGAGGUGCUGUGACACCGUGUCAUGUGCUCCCCUGUGGCAGCCUGCUUCCCAGACACCCACCUCCCUGGUAAGGAGACCGACACAAUGAGAUGGGUGCUGGCUCAGGGUCCAUGACUUGUGAGUCCUAAUGCGUACGUGCCACCAUAUAAAUGGGAAUCUUGUAUUUACCUCUGAGUUCUCAAUUUUUAAAAUUCUAUAAACUUCACAAUCUCAAAGUGUU
This 621-nucleotide long non-coding RNA is filed under the name Rattus norvegicus (Norway rat). RNAcentral describes it as "long non-coding RNA NONRATT000482". The record is from RNAcentral. Lineage: Eukaryota; Metazoa; Chordata; Mammalia; Rodentia; Muridae.